CCUACGGGAGGCAGCAGUAAGGAAUUGUUCGCAAUGGGCGCAAGCCUGACGACGCAACGCCGCGUGGAGGACGAAGAUCUUCGGGUUGUAAACUCCUGUCAAGCGGGAAGAACAGCGUGCGGGUUAAUACCCCGUGCGCCUGACGGUACCGUUGAAGGAAGCCCCGGCUAACUCCGUGCCAGCAGCCGCGGUAAUACGGGGGGGGCAAGCGUUGUUCGGAAUUACUGGGCGUAAAGGGCUCGUAGGCGGCCAGCCAAGUCGGACGUGAAAUCCCUCGGCUCAACCGGGGAACUGCAUCCGAUACUGGUUGGCUUGAAGCCGGGAGAGGGAUGCGGAAUUCCAGGUGUAGCGGUGAAAUGCGUAGAUAUCUGGAGGAACACCGGUGGCGAAGGCGGCAUCCUGGACCGGUCUUGACGCUGAGGAGCGAAAGCCAGGGGAGCGAACGGGAUUAGAUACCCCGGUAGUCCUGGCCCUAAACGAUGAAUGCUUGGUGUGGCGGGUAUCGAUCCCUGCCGUGCCGGAGCUAACGCAUUAAGCAUUCCGCCUGG
RNAcentral lists this ribosomal RNA (548 nucleotides) under uncultured Acidobacteriota bacterium. RNAcentral's name for it is "bacterial SSU rRNA". It matches the Rfam family "Bacterial small subunit ribosomal RNA", at positions 338 to 876 of the family's 1533-position model. The record is from RNAcentral. Lineage: Bacteria; Pseudomonadati; Acidobacteriota.